GGAACUUCCCUUGGCCUAGAGCGUGCAGUUCCUGGCCCUCAGCCGUGUCUGUCAGACCCCACAGCCAUCAUGCCCACGGGAAUGGUGUUUGUGUUGGCAUCUGUGGUCCCUGUGGGCCUGCCAACUUCCAUGGCAUGUGACAUUGUCAGGGGACUGUAGGUGUGAGGAAGUCAGCCUGAGGAGCUCGUGCUGCCCUGACUCCAGAACUCUCAAUUCUUCUUGAGGCUCAGUGCAGCAGUCACCCUCUCACCCGCAGAUUUGCUUUCCACGGUCUCGGUUACUGGCUGUCAGCCACAGUCAGAAGCGGACGAUCCCCCUGCUGACGUAUUGUCAAUAGUUCAACAGUCGCUUAACGCCAUGUCAUAUGCCUGUAUCACUCACCUACUUUAUCACCUCAUAACAUCACAAAAAUAGGAGGAAAGGCUCAUGAGCCGUGAGUCACGGCGGGCAGUCGACAGUGGGUCUGGCCACGUGCAGCCCCAGUGGGGGUGUUCUGGGGAUGGCCCUGAGACCCAGACAUGACCUGUGCUCUCCGGGAGUUCCCGCCAGAAACAGGAAGAACAGAUGUGAGACUGCAAGCUGCUGAUCUCUGCCCACCUCCACCAGGAAGUCUUCCAAGAUUAAUUACUUUGGACUUGUUCUGGGGUUAAUCCUGAGUUCCUGGCUCUGGCCAGAUGGGCUCCUUUGAGCUUUACCAUCCUGCCUAGUCUGAGCAUCGGGCA
Manis pentadactyla (Chinese pangolin) is the source of this 722-nucleotide long non-coding RNA. RefSeq lists it as uncharacterized. The record is from RefSeq and is a predicted model, not a curated record. The transcript has 4 exons. NCBI's taxonomy places the organism in Eukaryota, Metazoa, Chordata, Mammalia, Pholidota, Manidae.